RNAcentral lists this long non-coding RNA (322 nucleotides) under Ananas comosus (pineapple). Its description in RNAcentral is "long non-coding RNA (ACOM_LNC026680)". Lineage: Eukaryota; Viridiplantae; Streptophyta; Magnoliopsida; Poales; Bromeliaceae. The record is from RNAcentral.
AGACUUUAAAAACAAAGCUUCCGGAUGGAAAGCAUUUUUAAUAGGAUGAUUGUUGUAUUUUACAUCGCAUCAUCCAGCGCCUAAGGAGUGCUUAGAGGCAUGCAUCAUUCUUAAAAAUGGUUAGCUGUAUGAAAAUGUAUCGCAUUGAUUGUUUGUGGAUUCCGUGAAUAUAAGUUAUGAGUUGUGAUCUUGUUAAUAUUGUUUGAUCGGUACACCGUAAAAAUACAAAAGAGUCAUGUCAGUGUGGACAUAGAGAUUUGUAUUUGUAGCGGGCUGAACGCCACGUGGGCCAGGCAAUUCAAAAAGAAAAAUGGCACAUUUU